AGGAAGCAGCAGCCUCCGCUCCGCGGCGGGUGUGCUCGGCAGUCACAGACCCACUCAGGACACCUCCCGUUGCCGACGGGCUAGACCUGCCUUAAAGGGGUCCCCGUGUCUCUCCAGUCUAGAGCCUAAGUUCAAACGAGGCGUAUAGGCGAGGACAGCAGGAAGGCUCCAAGUCAAACAAACGGAUGGGAAGUGGUCUUGGGAAACCUGAAGACACUGGGAUAUUCAGAAGGCCAAGGGGAUCCAGCUUAUCCUGUUGGGCAAGGUGCUGGGAGUGAAGGCAGAGAUUCCACUGAUGAUUUCCAGGAACUACCAAAGCCACGGAUCAGCUGAGUUACCCGGGCUAAUAGCAGGAGGAAACAGUGUCAGAGAGGGAUCUGGCUGAUCUUCAACUCCACUAAGUUCUCCCCAAGGGUCUUGCUCCAUCACCCACGCUGGAGUGCAGUGGCACAAUCACAGCUCACUACAACCUCAACUUUCCUGGCUCAGUGAUUAUCCCACCUCAGCCUCCUGAGUAGCUGGGACUAACAGGCAUGUGCCAACAUGUCCCACUCAUUUUUUUUUUAUUUUUUGUAGAGAUGGGGUUUCACCAUGUUGUCCAGGCUGGUCUCAAACUCCUGGGCUCAAGCGAUCCUCCCUGCCUUGGCCUGUGCUGGGAUUACAGGUGUGAGCCACCGUGCUGGCCUCAGUACUAUUUUUUAUUGA
Molecule: long non-coding RNA, 705 nt
Filed under: Homo sapiens (human)
Lineage: Eukaryota; Metazoa; Chordata; Mammalia; Primates; Hominidae
Description: HSALNT0333803
Source: RNAcentral